CUGGUUGAUCCUGCCAGUAGCAUAUGCUUGUCUCUGAGACUAAGCCAUGCAUGUCUAAGUAUAAACAAAUUUGUACUGUGAAACUGCGGACGGCUCAUUAAAUCAGUUAUAAUCUACUUGAUCGUAUAUUCAAUGGAUUAAUCGGGUAACCCUAGUAAUUCUAGAGCUAAUACGUGCAAAAAACUCCGACUUUUCUUCGGGAGAGAAAGAGUGUAUUUAUUAGGUAAAAAACCACUCAGCCCUUUCGGGGGUUGUUUCUUGAUGAUUCAUAAUAACUUAGCAAAUCGCAGAUCAUUCUGCGAUGAUACAAACGAGUUUCUGACCUAUCAACUUUAGAUGGCAAAGUAGGGGUUUGCCAUGGUGACAACGGGUGACGGGGAAUUAGGGUUCGAUUCCGGAGAGGGAGCCUGAGAAACGGCUACCACUUCCAAGGAAGGCAGCAGGCGCGCAAAUUACCCAAUACUGAUUCGGUGAGGUAGUGACAAGAAAUACCAAUGUAGGACCCAACGGGUACUACGUUUGGAAUGAGUACAAUUUAAAAACCUUAACGAGGAACAAUUGGAGGGCAAGUCUGGU
RNAcentral lists this ribosomal RNA (576 nucleotides) under uncultured eukaryote. RNAcentral describes it as "bacterial SSU rRNA". It matches the Rfam family "Eukaryotic small subunit ribosomal RNA", at positions 4 to 565 of the family's 1831-position model. The record is from RNAcentral.